RNAcentral lists this long non-coding RNA (800 nucleotides) under Nicotiana benthamiana. RNAcentral describes it as "long non-coding RNA (NBEN_LNC036328)". The record is from RNAcentral. Lineage: Eukaryota; Viridiplantae; Streptophyta; Magnoliopsida; Solanales; Solanaceae.
GUUGUUGUUGUUGUUGUUGUACCUGGUGCCCUAUUUGCAUAGUAGAAUGCCAUCGACAAAUGUUCCAACAGCGAUCAGGUAGAGAGAUAUAUCUUGUCAUUGGAGCUUUAGUCAUUAAAAACCUGUUUCCUUUUUUUUUGGAGAGGUAACUAGUUAGUUGUUAAAUAUAGAACAUGCUAAUAGUGUCCCUGCUUUGCGAACAGGAAAUACUUUAUGUACGCUCGUGAGAGGUUUAAUUACAAGCUUUGGAGAAGAUAGCUGUUUGUUUCCUGCCUCAGCCUUAAGAUACUAGAACUAUACAUGCGUGGCUGCUGUCUGCUGACACAUGGGUACUCUCCCUUAGCAUUGACACAUGAAGCUGUUAUUUGCUUAGGAUUGAAAGAUGUUGUCUUCAUGGUCUUUCGUGUUGCUACUGCUGAAGCUUGAGAUGCUCCUGGUUUCCAUCAAUCUCAUGUACCUUCCGAGUUCCCCAUAUUGAAUGUCUGGUGAACAAUGAAGCCCUUACCUCCAGCGACCCAAGAGAAGGGCUAUAAAAGCCCGAACAAGAACACAUUAAGGUCGUAUGUUUUUGGGUAAACAACUGCAAAAUCUAGUAUGUUUGAAUUCCAAAUGUAAUCUACUACUAUUAUAUAAGUGAGGAUAAGCAGGACAUGGUCAACAUGCGUGCUCAAUUCCUUGAGAACGUUCUGGUAAAUUCAUGCAAACUAGAGUAAUUUGAUUGGCCGAAAAAGUAUCUUACUUUAGCUGCUAUGUAAAUAUCUGUGUAUUUUGACAAAAAUACCCUUUGCUUAUCUCAUCAC